Molecule: long non-coding RNA, 751 nt
Filed under: Lactuca sativa (garden lettuce)
Lineage: Eukaryota; Viridiplantae; Streptophyta; Magnoliopsida; Asterales; Asteraceae
Description: long non-coding RNA (LSAT_LNC004765)
Source: RNAcentral
AGGAACAUAAACAAUAUUUUAAAAAAUAGAAAAUAAAAUUUCGAUUUUUCGGUUAACUGUAGCAGAAUUGCAGAAACUAGAAAGCAUGAACCGCAACCAAACUAGAAAACUUAAGAUUUUACCGGUUCGGUUAACCAAACUGGAAAAUUAAAAAAUGUCAUUUUGGUUAACCUGAAAAUCGAAGUGUUCGAUGAAAAGUUAGUUUUCUUUGCUGCUUGUAAAGGUGGUGUUUGCAAUAUCACUCUUGUAUCGAAUGCUAAUUAAGUGUAAUGGGUGUGUAAUAACAUAUUGAUCCCAAGAACUGCUAUGCUACGGAUUCACUGAUUUCUAAAAUCUGUUUGUUGAUUUCCAAUACUUAAUACUUAUCCUGGAAAAGUAGUUCAAAAAGGUAAAAUGGUUAUUUGCAUGAUUCAGCACAAUCAGCAGAUUUUUCAGAGCUUCUGUCAGAUUCAGGCAUCUAUUGGAUUGAAAUCUUAAUCAAACAGACCCUACCAAACAACCCCUUACUCUUUUUUGACUCGUUAAAAACUCAGCAUCAGCCAGUCUUAAUAAUCCAAAACUUAAAUCCAUGACAAACUCAAACUAAAGUAUAGGGAAGUUAAGCAAUCAUCAUACAAAAAAAAAAAAAAAAAAAAAAAAAAAUUUUUUAAAAAAAAAAAAAAAAAAAAAAACAUCUUUUAACAGAUACAACCAUUGUCUACUUUGUCUUCAAUGACAGGUCAAAGUUUCAAUCCAGAAUCCCAAAUCAACA